CAGUAGUCACGAGUUUGUCCUGGCUCAGAACGAACGCUGGCGGCAGGCCUAACACAUGCAAGUCGAGCGAUCCUUUCGGGGAUAGCGGCGGACGGGUGAGUAACGCGUGGGAACGUACCCUUUGCUACGGAAUAGCCUCGGGAAACUGGGAGUAAUACCGUAUGUGCCCUUCGGGGGAAAGAUUUAUCGGCAAAGGAUCGGCCCGCGUUGGAUUAGGUAGUUGGUGGGGUAAUGGCCUACCAAGCCGACGAUCCAUAGCUGGUUUGAGAGGAUGAUCAGCCACACUGGGACUGAGACACGGCCCAGACUCCUACGGGAGGCAGCAGUGGGGAAUCUUAGACAAUGGGGGCAACCCUGAUCUAGCCAUGCCGCGUGAGUGAUGAAGGCCCUAGGGUUGUAAAGCUCUUUCAGCUGGGAAGAUAAUGACGGUACCAGCAGAAGAAGCCCCGGCUAUCUCCGUG
This 461-nucleotide ribosomal RNA is filed under the name uncultured bacterium. Its description in RNAcentral is "bacterial SSU rRNA". It matches the Rfam family "Bacterial small subunit ribosomal RNA", at positions 1 to 507 of the family's 1533-position model. The record is from RNAcentral.